RNAcentral lists this non-coding RNA (553 nucleotides) under Disporum flavens. RNAcentral describes it as "partial transfer RNA-Leu". The stretch from base 1 to 216 matches the Rfam family "Group I catalytic intron". Lineage: Eukaryota; Viridiplantae; Streptophyta; Magnoliopsida; Liliales; Colchicaceae. The record is from RNAcentral.
GACUUGAUUAGAUUGAGCCUUGGUAUGGAAACCUGCUAAGUGAUAACUUCCAAAUUCAGAGAAACCCUGGAAUUAAAAAUGGGCAAUCCUGAGCCAAAUCUUGAUGUUAAGAAAACAGAGGAUAGGUGCAGAGACUCAAUGGAAGCUGUUCUAACGAAUGGAAUUGACGUUGACUACAUUGCGUUAGUAGCUGGAAUCCUUCUAUCAAAAUUACAGAAGGGAUGACCCUAUAUGCGUAUAUAUACAUACUGACAUAUCAAACGAUUAAUCACGACUCGAAUCUGGAAUACAUAACAUAUUAUUAUAUAUAUAAUAUUUAUUUAAAAAUUUAUAGAUUAAUUAAGAGUUAUUAUAAAUCUAUUCCAGUCGAAGUUGAAGGAAGAAUCAAAUAUUCAGUAUUCAGUGAUCAAAUCAUUCAUUCCAAAGUCGGAUAGAUCUUUUGAAAAAAUGAUUAAUCGGACGAGAAUAAAGAGAGAGUCCUGUUCUACGUGUCAAUACCGACAGCAAUGAAAUUUAUAGUAUUAGGAAAAUCCGUCGACUUUAGAAAUCGUGA